RNAcentral lists this ribosomal RNA (468 nucleotides) under uncultured bacterium. Its description in RNAcentral is "partial 16S ribosomal RNA". It matches the Rfam family "Bacterial small subunit ribosomal RNA", at positions 28 to 507 of the family's 1533-position model. The record is from RNAcentral.
GACGAACGCUGGCGGCGUGCUUAACACAUGCAAGUCGAACGGAAAGGCCCUGCUUUUGUGGGGUGCUCGAGUGGCGAACGGGUGAGUAACACGUGAGUAACCUGCCCUUGACUUUGGGAUAACUUCAGGAAACUGGGGCUAAUACCGGAUAGGAGCUCCUGCUGCAUGGUGGGGGUUGGAAAGUUUCGGCGUUUGGGGAUGGACUCGCGGCUUAUCAGCUUGUUGGUGGGGUAGUGGCUUACCAAGGCUUUGACGGGUAGCCGGCCUGAGAGGGUGACCGGCCACAUUGGGACUGAGAUUCGGCCCAGUCUCCUUCGUGAGGCAGCAGUGGGGAAGAUUGCACAAUGGGCGGAAGCCUGAUGCAUCAACGCCGCGUGCGGGAUGAUGGCCUUCGGGUUGUAACCCGCUUUCGCCUGUGACGAAGCGUGAGUGACGGUAAUGGGUAAAGAAGCACCGGCUAACUCCGUG